UACGGAGGGUGCAAGCGUUAAUCGGAAUUACUGGGCGUAAAGCGCACGUAGGCGGUUUGAUAAGCCAGCCGUGAAAGCCCCGGGCUCAACCUGGGAAUUGCGGUUGGAACUGUCAAGCUGGAGUACAGUAGAGGGGUGUGGAAUUUCAGGUGUAGCGGUGAAAUGCGUAGAUAUCUGAAGGAACAUCAGUGGCGAAGGCGACACCCUGGACUGAUACUGACGCUGAGGUGCGAAAGCGUGGGGAGCAAACAGG
This 253-nucleotide ribosomal RNA is filed under the name uncultured Gilvimarinus sp. RNAcentral's name for it is "partial 16S ribosomal RNA". It matches the Rfam family "Bacterial small subunit ribosomal RNA", at positions 524 to 776 of the family's 1533-position model. Lineage: Bacteria; Pseudomonadati; Pseudomonadota; Gammaproteobacteria; Cellvibrionales; Cellvibrionaceae. The record is from RNAcentral.